This 107-nucleotide small nuclear RNA is filed under the name Catagonus wagneri (Chacoan peccary). The record is from RNAcentral. Lineage: Eukaryota; Metazoa; Chordata; Mammalia; Artiodactyla; Tayassuidae.
GUGCUCGCCUUGGCAGCACAUUUAAUAAAAUUGGAACGAUACAGAGAAGAUUGGCAUGGCCCCUGCACAAGGACGGCAUGCAAAUUCAUGAAGCGUUCCUUAUUUAA